AACGAACGCUGGCGGCAGGCUUAACACAUGCAAGUCGAGCGCCCCGCAAGGGGAGUGGCAGACGGGUGAGUAACACGUGGGAACGUGCCCUUCGCUUCGGGAUAGCCUCGGGAAACUGGGAGUAAUACCGAAUACGCCGUAUUGGGAAAGAUUUAUCGGCGAAGGAUCGGCCCGCGUUGGAUUAGCUAGUUGGCGGUGUAAUGGACCACCAAGGCUACGAUCCAUAGCUGGUCUGAGAGGACGACCAGCCACACUGGGACUGAGACACGGCCCAGACUCCUACGGGAGGCAGCAGUGGGGAAUCUUGGACAAUGGGCGCAAGCCUGAUCCAGCCAUGCCGCGUGAGUGAAGAAGGCCUUAGGGUUGUAAACUCUUUCGCCGGUGAAGAUAAUGACGGUAACCGGAGAAGAAGCCCCGGCUAACUUCGUGCCAGCAGCCGCGGUAAU
RNAcentral lists this ribosomal RNA (446 nucleotides) under uncultured bacterium. RNAcentral describes it as "bacterial SSU rRNA". It matches the Rfam family "Bacterial small subunit ribosomal RNA", at positions 29 to 524 of the family's 1533-position model. The record is from RNAcentral.